This 333-nucleotide ribosomal RNA is filed under the name Triticum aestivum (bread wheat). Its description in RNAcentral is "partial small subunit ribosomal RNA". Lineage: Eukaryota; Viridiplantae; Streptophyta; Magnoliopsida; Poales; Poaceae. The record is from RNAcentral.
UAUCCUAGGACUGCAUAGGAGUUGUUUAAUCUCAAACACUCCAGCCUUAGAGUAACUGUUGAGAGGGCAUUUGGAGCUCUGAAGAAUAGGUUUAAGAUCCCGGAUCAGAAGCCAUUCCACCCAUACUCCACUCAGGUUAAACUUGUUCUUGCUUAUUGCAUUCUGCAUAACUAGAUCCUUUAGUGGGGCUUUGAUGAACAUGUGCCUGAGGAGGAAGAGGUCGAGCCUGACGAUAUUGUUAGCUUCGGCCAUGGUGUGGAGGCAUUUGACAAUGACGCUUGGGAGAACAAAAGGUUGGAGUGGGCAGAGGCAAUGUGGCUUAACAGAGGUUAG